Long non-coding RNA from Lagopus leucura (white-tailed ptarmigan), 950 nucleotides. RefSeq lists it as uncharacterized. The record is from RefSeq and is a predicted model, not a curated record. NCBI's taxonomy places the organism in Eukaryota, Metazoa, Chordata, Aves, Galliformes, Phasianidae. The transcript has 3 exons.
AAUUUUCUGAAAACGAUGUGACUAGUUUUCACCUUGUUGAGCGUUUUUUCACUAGUGCAACUUUGGAAUUUUUAUGAGAAUUUUGGUACGUUAAUGACCACCUCGCUCCGUGCUGGAAGCAAUAAACACAAAGCUUUUAAAGACUUUCUGACUUGACUAAUUGAGGUCGCUUUCGUCAGAGGCAGAGGAUGUGUAACCCUUAAAACGGUCUUCAUUUGCAAAGGAAACUCAACUCCUUGGACAGCCAAGACAAAAACAAAAACCUUAAUCUUCUGAUGCUUUGGAACUUCUGCCAUGUUAACUACUGACUGCUUAGAACAUUGUACUUGUCCAUGUGCCUAGGCAACAAUGAGACAGGCUUCGGAGUAUGAAAACUCUGUUUCUGUAUUUCUUGUAUUAAAGCCUUAAAGUGUAUAAUGUUAUAUACUUUUUAAAAUAAUUGUAUAUAUGAACCCUUAUUUGUUUAGUGACUCAAAAUGUUCUACUUGGAGCUCAAUAAAGAAUUUUCAUUUAAGUUCCUGUUACAAAGCAAUAAUGCAACUUCACAUUCCUUUAGUGACUCUUAGCCUUACGCAGCAACUUGAAGCGCGUGUGAAUUCUCAUGACUAGACUUUAAAUAUGCUUUUGGAAAUAGAUUGCCUGAUAUAUGAACAACAUGGAUAAAUUAAAUGGAGGAUCAGUGUUUGUUCUGGAACUUUAUGUAUUAGCUAAACACAAAACACCAAACAAAACUCAUAAGUAGUAGUGAUAAUCCAGUUUCCUUCAGAAACUUGUAUAACAUGGUAUUUUAAUUCCUGUCAGUUGUAUUAUGCUGCUUAUUCUCUUUCACUUGGUGUUUGCAUAGAAUUGUUUUCUCUGGUAUGCAAUCACUGGUUUUCUAGUAGUAGUCCUGAAUGAGGCUUUUACACUUUGAUUAAUCUUGUAUCUUACAGUUCUGUUUACUCAAUGCU